This 662-nucleotide ribosomal RNA is filed under the name Fusarium kyushuense. RNAcentral describes it as "SSU rRNA". It matches the Rfam family "Bacterial small subunit ribosomal RNA", at positions 300 to 937 of the family's 1533-position model. Lineage: Eukaryota; Fungi; Ascomycota; Sordariomycetes; Hypocreales; Nectriaceae. The record is from RNAcentral.
GCUAACGGCUGAACUGGCAACUUGGAGAAGUGGCAAGUCUUCCAGUAUGGGGAGCAAACAGCUAUGGGUCAAGCCCGAUACCUUUAAGAGAAGUCUUAUUGUGAGGGCGAGUUGUAUAACACCAUAGGGCUGGCCGUCCCAUAUGAAAAGAUUUUAUUAGAAUUGAAUGAAACUUUGUUUAUAUAUUGAUAAUGACAGUAUAUAUAUCGUGUCUUGACUAAUUGCGUGCCAGCAGUCGCGGUAAUACGUAAGAGACUAGUGUUAUUCAUCUUAAUUAGGUUUAAAGGGUACCCAGACGGUCUAUAUAGCUUAUAAAAUGUUAGUAUAAGACUAGAGUUUUAUGUAAGAGNGCAGUACUUGAGGAGGAGAGAUGAAAUUUCGUGAUACCAAAGGGACUCUGUAAAGGCGAAGGCAGCCCUCUAUGUAAAAACUGACGUUGAAGGACGAAGGCACAGAGAACAAACAGGAUUAGAUACCCAAGUAGUCUUUGCAGUAAAUGAUGAAUGCCAUAGGUUAGAUAUAAAUAAUCCCUAUUAUAUAUAUAAUACAAAAGUAUUAAAUAUAUCUGGUCUAUAAAUGAAAGUGUAAGCAUUUCACCUCAAGAGUAAUGUGGCAACGCAGGAACUGAAAUCACUAGACCGUUUCUGACACCAGUAGUGAAG